This 797-nucleotide ribosomal RNA is filed under the name Grandibotrys xylophila. RNAcentral describes it as "eukaryotic LSU rRNA". It matches the Rfam family "Eukaryotic large subunit ribosomal RNA", at positions 74 to 906 of the family's 3401-position model. The record is from RNAcentral. Lineage: Eukaryota; Fungi; Ascomycota; Sordariomycetes; Hypocreales; Stachybotryaceae.
AUUGCCUCAGUAACGGCGAGUGAAGCGGCAACAGCUCAAAUUUGAAAUCUGGCCCUAGGCCCGAGUUGUAAUUUGCAGAGGAUGCUUUUGGCGCGGUGCCUUCCGAGUUCCCUGGAACGGGACGCCAUAGAGGGUGAGAGCCCCGUACGGUUGGACACCAAGCCUCUGUAAAGCUCCUUCGACGAGUCGAGUAGUUUGGGAAUGCUGCUCUAAAUGGGAGGUAUAUGUCUUCUAAAGCUAAAUACCGGCCAGAGACCGAUAGCGCACAAGUAGAGUGAUCGAAAGAUGAAAAGCACUUUGGAAAGAGAGUUAAACAGCACGUGAAAUUGUUGAAAGGGAAGCGUUUACGACCAGACUUGGGCCGGUUGAUCAUCCAGCGUUCUCGCUGGUGCACUCUGCCGGUCCAGGCCAGCAUCAGUUCGCCCCGGGGGAUAAAGGCGGCGGGAAUGUAGCUCCUCCGGGAGUGUUAUAGCCCACCGUGCAAUACCCUGUGGCGGACUGAGGUUCGCGCUCUGCAAGGAUGCUGGCGUAAUGGUCGUCAACGACCCGUCUUGAAACACGGACCAAGGAGUCGUCUUCGUAUGCGAGUGUUCGGGUGUCAAACCCCUACGCGUAAUGAAAGUGAACGCAGGUGAGAGCUUCGGCGCAUCAUCGACCGAUCCUGAUGUUCUCGGAUGGAUUUGAGUAAGAGCAUACGGGGCCGGACCCGAAAGAAGGUGAACUAUGCCUGUAUAGGGUGAAGCCAGAGGAAACUCUGGUGGAGGCUCGCAGCGGUUCUGACGUGCAAAUCGAUCGUC